RNAcentral lists this long non-coding RNA (2937 nucleotides) under Homo sapiens (human). RNAcentral describes it as "HSALNT0122447". The record is from RNAcentral. Lineage: Eukaryota; Metazoa; Chordata; Mammalia; Primates; Hominidae.
UACUUCUCCAGAAGGGGCGUGACUGACAGAGGGUUCAACCCAGGUCCAGUGGCUCUGAGGUCCUGUGCUUCAUAAAGUGUAUGUUUUGCAAAAACACUGAGGUUCUCCCAGUUGUGCAGAGGUAAGCUGCCCGUUUUCAUGGAGUAGAUCCUUUACUUGAAGUUCACUGGGUUGUUGUUGGUUCCAGCUCAUUAGAGAACUAAUGUUUAUGCAGCUUAUAUAGAACAAUCGUCUCUACUCAGAAACUUGCCCCAGUGGGGGCAAGCUGCCACACAUGGGCAUACGGCUCGGAAGGCUGGGUUUCCCUCUGCCUGAGUGUUCAGGCCCUCUACAGCCCCACCUCAGCUGGCGCUGUGGGCUGUGGUUCCGCUGACCUCCCAACCUGUCCUUCGGGUCCAGUUGAACAGAAAUAUUACUUGUUACCCAAGCAAUUUUCAGCCUCACCAUGACUCUAGCUUCUUUCAUCUGCACGAAGUGCUGAGGCAGAAGGACACAGAGAGGCAGAGAGAAAAGGAGACCCUUCAUUCAGUAUCUAUAGCUCUUUCAAGUCAUUCCGAGUUAGCCUCCCACACAGGGGUUAGCAGCACUCAUGCCCGCGGUGAGAGGGUGCCUCUCCCUCUCCAAAAACACUACUACUUGCCAGAACUGACUCAGAAACAGUGAAUCUGGAUCUGUACAUGGAAAAAGUCCAAAUUACUAUUUAAAAAAUUAAACCACCACCAUCUACUUACUGGAUAGCUUUGAACUCCUAGAUCUUUAUGGUAGACCUUCAUCCACCAUUCCAUACUCCCUGACCUCCACCAUCACGCACUCUAACCUCUGCCAUCACCUCCCUCACUCACUCCCUGACCUCCAUUAUCAUUCACUCUCAGACCUCCACCAUCACUCACUCCCUGACCUCCACCAUCACACACUCCCUGACCCCCACCAACACACACUCCCUGACCUCCACCAUCACACACUCCCUGACCUCCACCAUCACACACUCUAACCUCUACCAUCACACACUCCCUGACCUCCACCAUCACUCACUCCCUGACCUCUACCAUCACACACUCCCUGACCUCCACCAUCACACACUCCCUGACCUCCACCAUCAUACACUCCCCGACCUCUGCCUUCACUCUCUCCCUGACCUCCACCAACACACUCAUUAUACGCCCCUUGAAUUUCUAUUAUCACACACUCCCUGCCCUCCUCUAUUGUACACUCAACUGAGCCACAGUUUCUUGACCAGCUGUCAUAUUGCAUCCCUGGUGAGGAACCAGGAUUCUAAUAUAAACCCCACUUUGGCCUCCUUUUGAAGAAGAGAAACUGCCAGAGACAGAAAAGAACAGGGGAUUUUUAAAAUGGGAAGUCUGAAUUGCCAAGAAAAUAUGAGAAGAUGCUCAGCCACCCUUUAAUUCAGGAAAAUGUGCAUGGAAAUCACAGUGUGAUACCCUUUACAUCCACGAGCUUGGCAAACAUUAAAAGUGGGCAGUACUAAAAGCUGACCCCUCAUGGAGAAAUGGGCACCCUCACACAGCGGUGAGAUGCACAGCAGAUCCCAGAGCCCGGUCCCCCGGCAUCACGUUGGAACAUGAAGGGAGUGGGCAGGUCUCCAGUUCCUCCACUCCUUUGUGUACUCAGACUCCAACACUGGAGUCCUGGGAGCCAGUCCAGGGAGACUGUGGAAGAAUGUUGACUGCAGCACUGCCUAUAAGAACAUCUGAACAACUGUUCAUGGAGCUCCAUCCGCAGGGAGAUGCACUUGUAAAGAACAAACUCAGUGUAAUGCAAUGUCUUAUAAUAGGGAGAUAGGCCGCAUUGUACGGAGCAAAGAGGCCCAAUUGAUAACUGAGUUACAAAGCGCGGAUGCAGCUCUGGUGAGAAGAACAGGACAGGAAGAGUGCCCCAGAAAAGGGAGCCGCGUGUGUCAACAUACAGAGGCAUGAAAGAGCUUGUGUCAGGGAAGUUCUGUGUGCCUGAGUUACCUGGAAACGAAGGGGGCAUUUAGGGGAUGAGAUGAGACAGAGAGGCAUGGCGGGAGAGGGGUGACAGCUUGGAUCCCAGCUGAGGAGGUCAGGCCUUACCCUGCAGCCUUUUCCAGGUUUCAAGGCCAAACUCUCAGACUGCUGUUAAAGGGAAAUCAUUCUGGGGGUGUUAUGGACACAGCAGGGUGAGGUAGCAGGGGUGGGUGAGGGGCCAUAGAUGGAGCUGCUGGGGCCUGCGGUGGGCAGAGGACUCCAGAGCAGAGAUCAGGGACUCCUAGGGUGCUUGGGAGCACAGAGGACUGUGCCUCGGACCUCUUCCUAGGGUAAGCAAAUGCCAACAAUACCUGGUGUCACUGAAAAAAUAGGACAAUAGAAAGAAACAAGGGGAAGGGUGCCACAUUUGGAGACUCUGAAAAGGCAAAACAACCAAUGGAAGCUUUGUUAGAUGCUGCUUCAGGGCCAAAAACCAACUGUAAUAGACAUUUUGGGGGCCAUUGGGGACAUCUGCAUAUGGCAGGAUAGUAGAUAAUCCUAGGGAAGUAUGGUUGAUCGUUUGCGUAGGAUGAUGUUAUUUUGGCUAUGUGAAAGAAUGUCUUGUCCUGGUGCAGUGGUUCACACCUGGAAUCCCAGCAGUUUGGGAGGCUGAGGCAAGAGGAUGCCUUGAGCCCAGGAGUUCGAGACCAGCCUGGGCAACAUAGUAAGACCUUGUCUUUACAAAAAAUGAACAAAAAUUAGCUAGGCGUGGUGGCGCACACGUGUAGUUCCAGCUACUCAGGAGACUGAGGUGAGAGGAUUGCUUGAGCCCCAGAGGUAGAGGCUGCAGUGAACCGAGCAACAGAGGGCAACAGAGAAAAACCCUGUCUUAAAAAAAAAAAAAAAGAAAGUCUUUACUUUCAGGAGAGGUGUGUUGAAAUACUUAGGUCUGUAGCAUCAUAACUCAGUAGUUUAGUUUCAAGCAGUUCAG